AGGAGUCCCUGUUUCUGCUGCUCCAGUACCUGCCCCCUGGGGUCAUUGCCCUGGUCAACUUCCUGGGUCCCCUGCUGUUCACAUUCCUGGUCCAGCUGGAGAACUACCCUCCCAACACAGAGGUCAACCUCACUCUGAUCUGGUGCGUGGUGCUGAAGCUGGCCAGCUUGGGGAUGUUCUCCCUCUCCCUGGGUCAGACCAUACUGUGCAUUGGCAGAGACAAGACCAGCUGUGAGUCCUACGGCUACAACGCUUGUGACUAUCAGGUGGCUGGCAGCCCGGCGGGGCCUGUCUCUCCUUUCCUUCUCCCCAAAAGCUCACCUCAAACUGUGCAGAGCCCUGUUCCUGCCCCUUUAGUCACCUUUGAGAGAAGCUGUCAGCAGGGCUGCCUGCACCGCGGCACACCUCCAGGGGGCGCCACUGCUGCCACAUGGUGUAGUGUGGCUGCCCUGGCUGUGGGGCUUCCUGCUCUAAUCCCAUCCUCAAGGCCUGGGUUUCAACCUAACGAUUCUAUCAGACACCAGGCAAGGCACCUGUACCACAGAAACCCUCACAGGAGGCUAAGGGAAGGGAGGGACGGGGUGGCCGUGAGUGGUGACAGGUCCCCUUCCCCUGCACCCCAGUGCUGGGAGAACUCCGUGGGGGAGGAGCUGUACAAGCUGAGUAUCUUCAACUUCCUUCUCACCGUGGCCUUCGCCUUCCUGGUCACCCUGCCUCGGAGGCUGCUGGUGGAUCGGUUCUCAGGCCGGUUCUGGGCCUGGCUGGAACGGGAGGAGUUCCUGGUCCCC
This 788-nucleotide small RNA is filed under the name Pongo abelii (Sumatran orangutan). RNAcentral describes it as "retained intron". The record is from RNAcentral. Lineage: Eukaryota; Metazoa; Chordata; Mammalia; Primates; Hominidae.